GACGAACGCUGGCGGCGUGCUUAACACAUGCAAGUCGAACGGUGAACCUCUUCGGAGGGGCUCAGUGGCGAACGGGUGAGUAACACGUGGGCAACCUGCCCCCGGCCCUGGGAUAACUCCAAGAAAUCGGGGCUAAUACCGGAUGUUCACCGCUUCCCGCAUGGGUGGUGGUGAAAAGGGUUUCCGGCUGGGGAUGGGCCCGCGGCCCAUCUGCUUGUUGGUGGGGUAGUGGCCUACCAAGGCGACGACGGGUAGCCGGCCUGGGAGGGUGGACGGCCACACGGGGACUGAGAGACGGCCCAGACUCCUACGGGGGGCAGCAGUGGGGAAUAUUGCGCAAUGGGCGGAAGCCUGACGCAGCGACGCCGCGGGGGGGAUGACGGCCUUCGGGGUGUAAACCUCUUUCAGCAGGGACGAAGCGCAAGUGACGGUACCUGCAGAAGAAGCACCGGCCAACUACGUG
This 463-nucleotide ribosomal RNA is filed under the name uncultured bacterium. RNAcentral describes it as "partial 16S ribosomal RNA". It matches the Rfam family "Bacterial small subunit ribosomal RNA", at positions 28 to 507 of the family's 1533-position model. The record is from RNAcentral.